This is a long non-coding RNA of Amphiprion ocellaris (clown anemonefish), 1240 nucleotides long. RefSeq lists it as uncharacterized. Lineage: Eukaryota; Metazoa; Chordata; Actinopteri; Pomacentridae. The transcript has 3 exons. The record is from RefSeq and is a predicted model, not a curated record.
AACUAAUUAUAUUUAGUGGAAGAGAAUGAAAAAACAGACUACUCCUUUUAAUUUGCAGUUAACUGUUUAUUGGUCAAGGGUUAAAGGUCAAGUUGUUUUUUCUGUGUGGGGAUUGGUCGGGAGUGAGGAAGAGACCGUUAGGGGGCGGGAGGAAGAAACGUGAGAUGUACGUUGGGAGAGCAGAGCCAAAGGGUGAAGGGAGAGGAGCUCUGGAAGCUGAACCAGGUUUUAAGAAUCCGAGUUUCUAUUGACUGGAUUUACUCAGUACAUCUUAUGUUUUGCCUUGUUAACUGUGUGUAGUUAACGACUGCAGAGGCACAGAUGUUGUUUUCUGUCCGAAUGAGAAAAAACGGGAGAUUGUGUGUGAGCGGGUUCAAGCUAACCGCUAAAGCUAACGGCUAAGCUACUGCAGGCGAGCGUUGUCUGGGCUUGAGUGGACUUUGAACUGGACAGACGGAGGUGCUUCUGGAUGAGGAGUUACCGGGAUGAGGAGUUAUCUGCCUCUCCUCUGACCGUUUCUUUUCCUGAGACAUUGGAUUAUUCGUCGGCUGGCUGCUGACUUUUCAGACACAGAGCUGUGAACGCCAUGACGUGGAUUCUGCUAACUGCUAACUGUGAGUUUGCUGACCGGAGAUCAACGCCGCUGUGGGGAUUUCGUGGGCUGCUUCCUGUGAUCAUCGUGGGUUUUCUACUCUGCACCUGGACUACGGCGAACAGCUGGAGAUCGACACACAGAGAGGAGUCUAGCAGCACAUUGCUGGGCUUCAGGUCCAGGUGAAGCAGAGCAGGAGUGAGACUGUGGAGGAAGUUGAUGCCCAGAGCCACCUGGUGAACCAGCCUGAAGGCCAGCGGCCAGGGAGGGGGUCUGUUCAAGGUUUUCUGUUGGGUUGGAGGAAGUAAACUGAACUGAAUGAUUCAUCAAGUCACUGGGGUUCAGCCUCUGGGAAACAUGAAUCCAUCUAAAGGUUGCUGGAGGUUUUUACCUGCAGGGAGGCCAGUGAUCCACUAUCCAUGAACUCCAUGACCAGCCCCAGCUGUGUCCACGAUUCAUUGAAGGGCGGUCGGCCUUCAAAGAUCCCGAGGACCUGGAUAACGUACGGGUUUUUUCCCAGACACAUCAUCUCGACCUCACGCAGCAAAGACGAGCUGUUCCUGUGAGCAUUGGUUCAGUCAGUGACUUAUUUCAGUAUCAGCUAACAGAAGCUACAUGCUGAAACUUACCCGUCGUCGUAGCGAAGCA